UGGCUUCUUGUGCUGUUAUAGUUCGCUACAGACAGGUACAUAAGUUCCCUACAGCUACAAGUAUGGUACCAUAAUGUGUCAUCUAUUCGAUUUUGAGGUUUGGUAUUGAUUCAUUGAUCCCCUUUCCUAGGAUUCAUUAUUGGAAAUUGAUCUUGGGCUAUGGAACUAAGAUGAUCUACUCAAAAAGUUUUCUUACCACUAUAUCUUUUUUAUGUGCUAAAUCACUGAUUAAUUACUACACUUAGCAAGAAUUUCCUUUACAAACAAAGCUAGCGUUCGAGGGUGUGGAGGAGGUGAAACACAUGGGGUCACCAUCAGCCUUUCCCUCUAGAUCUGGUGCGUGUAAUUUAACCUGGAUAUUCAGAGACGUAUUGAAAGGAAAACAAUUUGGACCUUAGUUGUAUAUUUGAUGAAGCUAUCUAAUUUGGACUUGAAAUUACACUGUAAAAUUUCCUUUCAACUGCUAACUCAAUUUACAAUUUUCUGAACUUUACUUCUGCCACCAUAUGCUCCCAGUCAUCCCCGCCACAUGUACGUCGCUGGUUCAUCCUGAUGCUUGUCAUCCUCAUUGCGACUGCCGUAGUUUGGCACCAGGCUACCUACCGGCGACGUUGCCCCGCAUCCCGUUGCCAGCUACUGCUCCUUACGGGUCCGCGAGUACCUGCAUGAUUGGAUGCCUUACGGGCACGCACGCUCCUUCCUGAUCUGAUUUGUUCUCAUGGGAAAUCACUUCCUGCCAAUUCCUCAAAGUUCACAAACAGUUUUUAUUUCAUGGAUUUAUUUUUGGCAUUGACUGCUGCACAUUUAGAUAGAUGCAUAUAAUUUGCAUGUCAUGAAGGGAAAAAGACAUCACUGAGCCGUUUGUUUCUAAUUGCGAGGUUAAAUAAUUUUGUGUGUUCUAACUCUAUGGGAUAAUCUGAAGUUAUUUGGCUCAUCGUUGUGCCACAAGUUUCUAACAUCACCGUGCCUGUACACCAUCGACUUCACUGGAAAUAUGUCUGCACGUACUUCAUCGUCCGCCGGAACUUUGUCUGACCUGAG
RNAcentral lists this long non-coding RNA (1041 nucleotides) under Triticum aestivum (bread wheat). RNAcentral's name for it is "long non-coding RNA (TAES_LNC012516)". Lineage: Eukaryota; Viridiplantae; Streptophyta; Magnoliopsida; Poales; Poaceae. The record is from RNAcentral.